Non-coding RNA from Paramormyrops kingsleyae, 3597 nucleotides. NCBI's taxonomy places the organism in Eukaryota, Metazoa, Chordata, Actinopteri, Osteoglossiformes, Mormyridae. The record is from RefSeq and is a predicted model, not a curated record.
GUGACAAGCCGUCACCUGUGGCCACAGGAUGUCACGUGACAAGCCGUCACCUGUGGCCACAGGAUGUCACGUGACAAGCCGUCACCUGUGGCCACUGAUUUCCUGAAUCUGAAUCAAAUUAAUUUGGUUCACAAAGUGAAGAUUCAGUUUCCGGUUCCAUUUCAUUUGAUUUAAUAUCGACUGACACCCAAAAAUUAAAUUCGGCCAAUCCUUAUGUUUGUUACAUUUGGUUAGCUGAGCAUGCCACACAUGACUGUUUUGGUAAAUCAUGGAAGCGAUAAGCACUGAAGUGGCGGUGAAGAAAGGGACAGAUCAGUAGCCACACCACAGAGAGUCUGGAUAAACAAGGUGAAAAGACAUUGAUGGUCUGGUGGUACUUUUUGUAGUUAAAAGUCUGCCACUUAUAAUAAACAAACGAGGAUAUGCUGAAUUGAUCCGGGCUACUAACUUCUGGGCAUCACAAUUCAAUUCAACUCAAAUAACUUUAUUUGUCCCCGAGGGGCAAUGCGCAUCUCCGUAGUAAUUUGGUGUACUACUAAUCUAUUCAUCUGCUUAUCUAACUGUGGCCGUAUGUAGACGUCCAUAUAGUACCAAAAAAUUUACGUUCAUACGAAUUUUUAUGGCCAUUAUCUAAAGCUCUGAAAUUGCAUUGCAUUUGUCGGCAGUGAUUUGUGUCUGACGACACGCAUAAACAUGUUUUUUGUUUUAUCGAUAGUGCUAUAAUAAGUGCAAAUAUUUCAAAUAAUUGCCCUAUCUUCAACGGAGCAGCUUCCGCCAUGUCUAUCUGUUUUUGUCUGCCAGAACUCGUUGCACAAGGAUGGUCACAUGAGACUGACAGGGUUAAAGCGUUGCAAAUCCAUGGGAAAAGGCCAUAGACUGUAAAAGGCAUAUUACAAAAUCAAUCCCUGGAUCUUAUGAAAAGAUAUUGGAUUAUGCAAAUUAAGAUCUAUUUGAAUCAGGAGAUCAUUUAAUUAAUUUAUUUAAGGCCCAGCCCUAAUCCUAUACAGGUAAACAGUAAUAUGAGAAUUCCUCCAGGACCACUGAGCAAACGGUGACUGCGGGAUGGUUUUCACAAUACUUCCAGUGUAAAAACACAGGACACUGUGACAUGGGGGCUGGACAUGAGGGUUUGUAUAAAAACUGCAUUGAAAAUUGUAGGUAAACAAAAAAAUAAUGCAGCGCAAAAACGUGGGUGUCGUUCUUGGGAAUGGGCUGGUGGUUAGGGGGACUGCUGAUGUCACACUUACUUUUUAUGCAUUGUACGGAAAUUUGUGAGUCAGAAGACCUUGUGGUAUAGCUGCUUUUUAAUUUGGUGUUACUCGGCUUGUAAGAAUUUGUGCAAAGCUAUUCCAUUGCUUGCAGCGUUCAGCGUGUUGAGGGAAAAAUCAAUAGACCCUGGAGUGACAGGCUGUAUUUUCGAUUCCACGCGCUCAGCUCCAGUGGUGGAUGGUAACGAUUGCGUUUGAUUGCGGUCAAAGUGUUUCACGUUUACAGCCAAUUCAUGCAGAUGCUACUGGCCAUUGACCAGGGUCAGAGUGUGGCACCAGCUAAUAUUUCCCAUGCUGUAGGCACUGAGGAAGCUGUAAGUGGCUUUUCUUCCAUUUUCCAGUUCGUCUUUAAUCUCCCUGGUCGUUUUUAUGCCACUGGCUUGUUCAGAUUCAAAGCAUACUCCGGAUCCAGACCUGGUUCUGAAGUUCGGCCCGGUGGACAGCACGUUGGGGUUCCUCCCUUGGCACAUCAGGCUGACGGAGUUCAUCUCCUUGCCCUCCCACGUGGACGUCUCCUACGAGGACUUUUUCAGUGCACUACAGCGCUACGCAUCCUGCGAACAGAGGCUGGGCAAAUGAGGCGUGGCUCCGCCCAUUGGCUGUGACAGGAAGUGGAGCCCCCGCAGCCGCAAGCACCCGCCUCCUGUCACAUCUCUGCCCCCUACACCCCUGCCCCCCCCCUGCCUCCACGGCCUGGAUUCGCUCCCCAAAACAGGCAGAGACUCUCCGGUGUGAAAGUGACUCGAAAGGGGAGCGGACACUGACUGGAAUGAAUCGGUUUGGAAAGAGGGAAAAUUCUGGAAAGACGGUCAGCAGUAUGGCACACACACUUCAUAUAGGCUUUUUUUUGGGGGGAGGGGUCUAUUUCAUGUCUUUCAAUGGCAAAAUUAGAAUUCCAUUCAACAUACCUUGGUGCUCUCGAUAAAGAGAACUUUCUGUGAUCAAAUAAGGCACAUUACGUCAUACAUGCCCUGCGGGAACAUUUACAUGAAGAAGCAGCCGUUUGUAAACGUGUUCUACAAAUUAUUUGCUUUUUUGUUCCCGUCCGGUCUGACGUCCCAGGUGGAUUGUCCAUGCAGUCCCACAACAAGAGCACUAGGCCUACUGGUGAAUGCUGUGCAUGUCUCAGCCCGGCGGGGGCGAUGAAAUCCCAGCCGUCCAGUGUCUUAUCACAGAAGCGAGUAUCUGUGCCUCGCAGCACUCGGACCUGCCUCUUCCCUUUAUCGCAUGCUCUCCUGCGCAUUUCUUCGUUGUCGUCGGCGUCCAUAGUGAAAGAGCAGAAAUCUUUUAUUUGCCACCGUUUAUUUAAAAAAAAUGGGUCAUCCGAGCCAGUGCGACAGUAACUAACGUCAUAGCGUCUUGCCUGUAAUUCGUGGCACUUAUUAAAACCUGAUAGAAGCAUAACGCAGUUUGUAUUUCGUCCCCAUUUUUGGUUGCAGUCCAUGCGUCCUAUUUGUUCUGUUGUUCACACGUUCAGACACGGGUAAGAAGUGGGUUCGAUGAGCUGGGCAGCUAAUUUCUCGUUAUGCUGCAUAACGCUUACGCUUAUAGCCCGGCCGUGCCGUCGCAUCGACAGGCUAUCCACUCCCAUAACCUUAAAGACAAAGUAUUUCUGCUCUGUGUCAUGUUGAAGGACACCCUGGACAGUAUGUUUCUAACUUGUUACCCGUUAAACUAACAAGGGGCGGAAACUAGAUUUCAAAAUAUGGGGAGAGGUAAUGUGAAGUGGUGCGCAGUCUGGCUUUUGUAAUUGUUCAUGUAAUUGCAUUGUCGUGAUCGGAAUACAUGCAUACUUUUUAAUAUAUUUAUCGUGAGCAGCCCUACGGCUCCGUAGCAGCCGGUUUGGCUUAACGGCAAUCGGAGGGUGUUCGAGGCGGGGUGGGGGGGGGCGUGGUUUGGUCCCAUCGGUAGCAGCUUGAUUUUUACGGUUUUUGCGUACUUUCUGUCUGGUCUUCCGACACAGGUGCUUCUGUCUGUACGCGGUGUGUCUCAUUAGGCCUGUCACGCUUUUAUUUUCGAUAAAUACCUCGACAUCCGUGUCACUCUUCGUAGUACGCCAUUCGCUUUUUAAGGGAAGACGCUUCUGGCCGAGACCAAAGGCAUGUCUAUUAGGAUAGCUAAAAUCUGAAAUUGGCUUUGAAUUGUUUGUCUAUGAUAAAUGCACAGAAGCAUUCGGUUCGGAUUAAAUGCAUGAAUAGUUGCCUUCCAUUGUAUUUGGUCUUCGCCAACCAUCGAAUUAAAGCAGAGGUCUAAUUGGAGAAGUUACAAAUACAUGACAAAAAUGGACAGAACAUGUAAGCAAAUAAAUCGCCUCCAUGAUUAAUGUGAU